UACAUACCUGCAAAUAUCCAU
RNAcentral lists this non-coding RNA (21 nucleotides) under Caenorhabditis elegans. Lineage: Eukaryota; Metazoa; Nematoda; Chromadorea; Rhabditida; Rhabditidae. The record is from RNAcentral.